UACGUAGGGUGCGAGCGUUGUCCGGAAUUAUUGGGCGUAAAGGGCUCGUAGGCGGUUUGUCGCGUCGGGAGUGAAAACUCAGGGCUUAACCCUGAGCCUGCCUCCGAUACGGGCAGACUAGAGGUAUGCAGGGGAGAACGGAAUUCCUGGUGUAGCGGUGAAAUGCGCAGAUAUCAGGAGGAACACCGGUGGCGAAGGCGGGUCUCUGGGCAGUAACUGACGCUGAGGAGCGAAAGCGUGGGGAGCGAACAGG
RNAcentral lists this ribosomal RNA (253 nucleotides) under uncultured bacterium. RNAcentral's name for it is "partial 16S ribosomal RNA". It matches the Rfam family "Bacterial small subunit ribosomal RNA", at positions 524 to 776 of the family's 1533-position model. The record is from RNAcentral.